This 147-nucleotide long non-coding RNA is filed under the name Polistes fuscatus (common paper wasp). RNAcentral describes it as "uncharacterized LOC122519071". Lineage: Eukaryota; Metazoa; Arthropoda; Insecta; Hymenoptera; Vespidae. The record is from RNAcentral.
AUACAUUAGUAAUUGUUAUUAACCGUACGGGUGACUAACGAAUAGUGUUGUAAAAGAGGGACGAAUUAAUGACCUUAUCAUCGUCGUUUCUCUUAUUUUACAGUGAUCAUCAACUUAGGUUAAACAUGAAUAAACAAGAUAACAUGC